This 389-nucleotide ribosomal RNA is filed under the name uncultured bacterium. Its description in RNAcentral is "bacterial SSU rRNA". It matches the Rfam family "Bacterial small subunit ribosomal RNA", at positions 28 to 407 of the family's 1533-position model. The record is from RNAcentral.
GAUGAACGCUAGCGGCAGGCUUAACACAUGCAAGUCGAGGGGCAGCAUAAACAUUGCUUGCAAUGUUUGAUGGCGACCGGCGCACGGGUGCGUAACGCGUAUGCAACCUACCCAUAACAGGGGGAUAACACUGAGAAAUUGGUACUAAAUACCCCGUAAUAUUAUGAAAGGCAUCUUUUAUAGUUGAAAGUUCCGGCGGUUAUGGAUGGGCAUGCGUUGUAUUAGCUAGUUGGUGAGGUAACGGCUCACCAAGGCGACGAUACAUAGGGGGACUGAGAGGUUAACCCCCCCACAUUGGUACUGAGACACGGACCAAACUCCUACGGGAGGCAGCAGUGAGGAAUAUUGGUCAAUGGACGCAAGUCUGAACCAGCCAUGCCGCGUGCAGG